Molecule: transfer RNA, 74 nt
Organism: Treponema primitia ZAS-2
Lineage: Bacteria; Pseudomonadati; Spirochaetota; Spirochaetia; Treponematales; Treponemataceae
Rfam family: tRNA
About the family: Transfer RNA (tRNA) molecules are approximately 80 nucleotides in length. Their secondary structure includes four short double-helical elements and three loops (D, anti-codon, and T loops).
Source: Rfam
GGGCGCAUAGCUCAGCUGGUUAGAGCACCACGUUUACACCGUGGGGGUCAGAGGUUCGAAUCCUCUUGCGCCCA